GAUGAACGCUGGCGGCGUGCCUAAUACAUGCAAGUCGAGCGAACAGACGAGGAGCUUGCUCCUCUGACGUUAGCGGCGGACGGGUGAGUAACACGUGGAUAACCUACCUAUAAGACUGGGAUAACUUCGGGAAACCGGAGCUAAUACCGGAUAAUAUAUUGAACCGCAUGGUUCAAUAGUGAAAGACGGUUUUGCUGUCACUUAUAGAUGGAUCCGCGCCGCAUUAGCUAGUUGGUAAGGUAACGGCUUACCAAGGCGACGAUGCGUAGCCGACCUGAGAGGGUGAUCGGCCACACUGGAACUGAGACACGGUCCAGACUCCUACGGGAGGCAGCAGUAGGGAAUCUUCCGCAAUGGGCGCAAGCCUGACGGAGCAACGCCGCGUGAGUGAUGAAGGUCUUCGGAUCGUAAAGCUCUGUUAUUAGGGAAGAACAAAUGUGUAAGUAACUAUGCACGUCUUGACGGUACCUAAUCAGAAAGCCACGGCUAACUACGUG
Molecule: ribosomal RNA, 497 nt
Filed under: uncultured bacterium
Lineage: Bacteria
Description: partial 16S ribosomal RNA
Rfam family: Bacterial small subunit ribosomal RNA
Source: RNAcentral